AAAAUUGGACAAUGGGGGCAACCCCGAUCAAGCCAUGCGGCGGGUGUGAAGAAGGUCUUCGGAUUGUAAAGAACUUUAAGUUGGGAGGAAGGGAUUUAGGGUAAUACCCUUAAGUUUUGACGUUACCAACAGAAUAAGCACCGGCUAACUCUGUGCCAGCAGCCGCGGUAAUACAGAGGGUGCAAGCGUUAAUCGGAAUUACUGGGCGUAAAGCGCGCGUAGGUGGUUCAGUAAGAUGGGUGUGAAAUCCCCGGGCUUAACCUGGGAACUGCUUUCAUAACUGCUGAGCUAGAGUACGGUAGAGGGUAGUGGAAUUUCCUGUGUAGCGGUGAAAUGCGUAGAUAUAGGAAGGAACACCAGUGGCGAAGGCGACUACCUGGACUGAUACUGACACUGAGGUGCGAAAGCGUGGGGAGCAAACA
RNAcentral lists this ribosomal RNA (422 nucleotides) under uncultured bacterium. RNAcentral describes it as "partial 16S ribosomal RNA". It matches the Rfam family "Bacterial small subunit ribosomal RNA", at positions 359 to 774 of the family's 1533-position model. The record is from RNAcentral.